GCAGAUAUUCUUUCACAUACGAGAUGUAGUGUUGGUUGUCAAUUAAUGCCAAAAGCAACUCAGCACCAGCAACAAGUUUCACCAUUCCGAUUCGAGCUUUCUCCUCCAAAUACACCCAUGUGGAUAGGGGUGCAGUAGAACCACCGGCAUCUGGACUGCCAAAUUGCAAUUGUGUUUGACAGCCUGGAAUAAGUCCGUGCUUG
RNAcentral lists this long non-coding RNA (203 nucleotides) under Olea europaea (common olive). Its description in RNAcentral is "long non-coding RNA (OEUR_LNC003013)". Lineage: Eukaryota; Viridiplantae; Streptophyta; Magnoliopsida; Lamiales; Oleaceae. The record is from RNAcentral.